This 481-nucleotide long non-coding RNA is filed under the name Sarcophilus harrisii (Tasmanian devil). RNAcentral describes it as "lncRNA (ENSSHAG00000020936.1)". Lineage: Eukaryota; Metazoa; Chordata; Mammalia; Dasyuromorphia; Dasyuridae. The record is from RNAcentral.
AAGCAUUUAAUAUAUAGUAUAUAGUACAUGGAAUAUUGGACUUAGAAGACUUUGGGCAAAUCAUAAUUCUCUGAAUCUUAGUUUCCUCAUCUAUAAAAUGGGAUAUUGUACAAGAUGUCAUCCAGGAUGCCUUUAAGCUCUAAAUCUAUGAUCCUAUGAUCUUUUCAGUAUAAAGGUGGGGGACUAAGGAAGCAGAAUGAAGCAUAUACUGUCAGAUUUGAUGACAAAAUUUUACAACUCAGUGAUGAGGAAAACAAUGUUACUGACAGAGACAGAGAAAUUGGAAUGGGGAGCUGUUCUGAAAGCUUGCAAAUAAAUCUCCUGGCCUGGAACUUGAUAACCUGAGUGGGCUGAUAGGAUAAGCAAUGAGAUCAUCAUGGAUUGGACAGGAAGGGUAGGGGGAUGGCAAAGAAACCCUGAGAAUGGGAGGGGAAAAUAAGCAUCCAGUGAUCCCGUUACUGUAUUGUCCUCAGUUGCCGCA